RNAcentral lists this ribosomal RNA (467 nucleotides) under uncultured bacterium. RNAcentral describes it as "partial 16S ribosomal RNA". It matches the Rfam family "Bacterial small subunit ribosomal RNA", at positions 28 to 507 of the family's 1533-position model. The record is from RNAcentral.
GAUGAACGCUGGCGGCGUGCUUAACACAUGCAAGUCGAACGGAAAGGCCCAAGCUUGCUUGGGUACUCGAGUGGCGAACGGGUGAGUAACACGUGGGUGAUCUGCCCUGCACUUCGGGAUAAGCCUGGGAAACUGGGUCAAAUACCGGAUAGGACCACUUCUUGGAUGUUGUGGUGGAAAGUUUUUUCGGUGUGGGAUGAGCUCGCGGCCUAUCAGCUUGUUGGUGGGGUAAUGGCCUACCAAGGCGUCGACGGGUAGCCGGCCUGAGAGGGUGUACGGCCACAUUGGGACUGAGAUACGGCCCAGACUCCUACGGGAGGCAGCGGUGGGGAAUAUUGCACAAUGGGCGCAAGCCUGAUGCAGCGACGCCGCGUGGGGGAUGACGGCCUUCGGGUUGUAAACUCCUUUCGCUAGGGACGAAGCGUUUUGUGACGGUACCUGGAGAAGAAGCACCGGCUAACUACGUG